GGCAGCUAGAGUGAUCUUUUUAAAAAUAAUAAUAAUUCAGACCAGUUACAGAUUCCUUUGUUCCUUCUCCACUCCCACUGCUCCACUUGACCAGCCUUUA
RNAcentral lists this small RNA (100 nucleotides) under Microcebus murinus (gray mouse lemur). RNAcentral describes it as "Y RNA (ENSMICG00000046244.1)". The record is from RNAcentral. Lineage: Eukaryota; Metazoa; Chordata; Mammalia; Primates; Cheirogaleidae.